GGGGAAGUGGCGAAAUGGCAGACGCGCAUGCCUUAGGAGCAUGUGUCUUAAUCGACGUGCGGGUUCGAAUCCCGCCUUCCCCACCA
This 86-nucleotide transfer RNA is filed under the name Chloroflexota bacterium. RNAcentral's name for it is "Chloroflexi bacterium tRNA-Leu". It matches the Rfam family "tRNA". Rfam says of the family: Transfer RNA (tRNA) molecules are approximately 80 nucleotides in length. Their secondary structure includes four short double-helical elements and three loops (D, anti-codon, and T loops). RNAcentral also lists the same sequence under 1 other name. Lineage: Bacteria; Bacillati; Chloroflexota. The record is from RNAcentral.